Leopardus geoffroyi (Geoffroy's cat) is the source of this 5164-nucleotide long non-coding RNA. RefSeq lists it as uncharacterized. Lineage: Eukaryota; Metazoa; Chordata; Mammalia; Carnivora; Felidae. The transcript has 5 exons. The record is from RefSeq and is a predicted model, not a curated record.
CUACUUCUAGGUAUAUUCCCCAGAGAAAUGAAAACAUAUGCCCAUCCACACAAAAACUUGCACAUGAAUAUUCAUAGCGGCAUGACACAUAAGAGACAAAGGCACAAAAAUGCAAAUAUAUAUCAACUAAUGAAUAGACAACCGAAGCAUGGAAUGCCAAUGCCAAUACACUGGAAUAUUUUUUAGUCAUUAAAAGGAAUGAAGUACUGAUACGUGCUACAAUAUGGAUGAACCUUGAAAACAUUAACACAAGUGAAAGAAGUUAGACACGAAAGACCACAUAUUGUAUGAUUCUACUAUAUGAAAUGUCCACAACAGGAAGUUCUGUAGACAUAGAAAGAAGUUUACUGGUUGCCAGGGGCUGGGGUUUGGGAAAAUGAGCAGUGCCUGACAAUGGGUACAGGGUUUCUUUCUUUCUGGGGUCAUGUAAAUAUUCUAAAAUUGAUUGUGGGGGUGGGUGCACAAUUCUGCGAGUGUGUGUGUGUGUGUGUGUGUGUGUGUGUGUGUAUCCUUCUAAAGGGUGAAUUCUAUGUAGCAUACGAAUACAUCUCAAUAAAGCUGUUGCAUCAAAAUAGAAGGUUUUCAAAAAGAACAUAUAAUUCUUGCCUUUGGUUGAGUAACAGGCUUACACUAAGGUAGAGCAACGCUAUCGUUCUAAUCUCUGUCAGCAUCACCAUUGUCAAAGGGCCUGUAGCAGAGAGAAUUUGGUCUAUCAUUGUGUGUCCUCCACAAAAAAAACCCUUCUGAGAGACAGGUGAAUGACACACUUUGUACAGCAGAUCAAAGACCCUUCCAAAUGGAUUUAAUGGUAAUGGAGAAAUUAAUGAAAAUAACUUCAAAAUUAAUAAACAUCUAUGAAAAAAAAUCCCCUCUGGGAUCAAAUAUUCAAAUCCCACGCACAGAAGCUGAAGUACACGUGCUUAUUUUUAUUAAGGCUUUAUAUUCUUGCAAAAUUUUGUCCAAAAAAACCCCGUAAAAAUAAAUUUCUGUUUGAACAACAAAAGAGGUUUGGCUGCUACUGUAUGUUUCAAUGAUGUGUCGCUCUUUCAAAGUGAUGCUAUUUUUUCUUCUGAGACGGAAAUCUUUUGAAGAGUGCAAAUCCUCACAUUUCAAUGAAACUUGAAGAAGUUGCUUUGUUCUUGCCUGUUUCCUUUUUGUAUUGAUUGUCCUUUGAAUAUAUAUUUAAAUAAAUAUUUCCGCUCAAACUAUCUUGAUCAACUAGGACCAACUGUAGUGCUUUUAAGGGUCAGUACUAUAUUGAUAAAGGUCCAUCCAUCACUGUCCAACAUUCUUGUCAUCCAGGCAGUAAAACAGACUUUAAGAAAGGAAAUGGAUCUUAGUCCAAUCCAAUAUCCAUUCACGGACACCCACCACUGGCAAGCACUUCACGAGGUACUGUGGGAAAUUCACAAAUGAAGAAAAAGCAUCCCCAAGUAGGGCUUACAGCCCACCGAAGUAGAAAGGGGGAGAGCAAGGCCAGAACAGAGGCAGGACCUCGUGCUAGAGGAAUAAAAGACCUAAAACGAAGGCAAAAUCAAGUAGAGUGGUUCAGAGUUUUUAUGCAAGGCCCAUUUUCUUCCUUGAAAUUUUAUGUUGGAGAGGUGGUUUUCUUCCUGGCGUAUUUAUAUGUACAAGGCAAGGUAUUAUUUGAAGCAAUUUUUUUAGAUCUUCCUAGAUCUUCCUAGUUGCUCUGAUAAAGUUUCUUCUUUUGCAGACAUUCGGUAGAGAGGCAGUUUGCUUUUGCAAACCGCUGAGAAGCAACUCCUCUUUGACCUUGCUCAGGACUACGCACAAACAGCGACUCUUUUAACCAAGUGUCCUUCACACCGGGAAACCGUAAACAGAAUUCUUUAAUAACAAGGCCACAACUCUCCCACAGGAGAAAAGAAGGACACAAUUAAACAAAGCAAGGGAAGGGGCAUUUUCCAGGGUUGCUACCAAAGACGCGGGCUUGAUACAAUUACCAUCAAGGGUAUAAUCUCAGGCCAGACUCCAGGUCUUUGAGCUUCCAAGAUGCCCUCCCCUGCAAUGAUCUUCACCUCCUCCUAUCCAUACCCUCCACAGUGAAUCCCCUCCUCCUGCCUUGUGUGACAAGUAGAACACUGAGGGUGUGAAACUCCUCGGGCUAUACUGUAAAAGACAUUACGGCUUCCUCCUUGGUCUCUUGGUCUCUUUGGAGGAAGCCGAGCACCAUGUCACAACAUUCAAGCAGCCUUGUGUGGAGACCCACAGAGAGGGAACUGAGGCCUCCUGCCAGUAGCCGGCACCAACUUCGCAGGUGUGUGUGAGUCAGACACCUGGGAAAUGGGUCCUCUAGCCUCCGGUUUUCAGAUGACUGCAGAUUAGCUAACAUCCGACCCUCUGGAAUUUGAGGACAAGGCUUAAUUCAGUGGGGCAUUCUCUCCACCAGCUCAGUGAUGCCUCAGCUUUACACAGGGACUGUCCCGGUUUCAGCUGUAGAAGUCCCACAUCUUGGGAAACCCCUGAGCACCACCAGUAACACCAGGAUGGCUGAUCACGUGGGAUUUAUGGCACCCAGGCUUAACUAGCAACUUCAACAUUUAUAGAACAGCUGUGAAUCUGGAUAUAAGUGGAGUUCCGGAGUGUGAAGAAGGAUGAAAAUGAGGGAGACGCACCAAUAGGAGUGACAUGGAAUGAGCUGCCAGCCAGAAGGUAGGGUAAAUUUUCUAAUCCGGAGAUGAUUCCAUCAUCUUAGCAAAGCCAAAUCAUCAACACUGAAAAGAAAAGCUCCAGUGCUGGGAAAACUUGUUAGCCACACGCAAAGGGGUGUAGCUGGACCCUCACCUCCCACCACAUGCAAAACUGAACUUGCAAUGGAUGACCGAUCUACAUUUAAGAGAUACAACUAUAAAACUCUUAGAAGAAAACAUAGACAGAAGUGUUCAUGAACUUGAGUUAGACAAAGACUUACAACAAAAGGCAAAACAGAGAAACUGGACGUUAUCAAGAUUGGACACUUUUUUAUUUCAAAUAAGUCAAUCAAGAAAGUCAAAACCACCGAAUGGGGGAAACAAACAUAUUGCAAAGCAUAUACAUGAUAAGGGACUUGUAAUGAAGAUAUUCAAAGAACUGUGGAAACUCAAUCCAAUUUAAAAACAGGCAAAGGGGGAAGCUGGGUGGCUCAAUCGGUUGAGCAUCUGACUCUUGGUUUGGGCUCAGGUCAUGAUCUCACAGUUGGUGAAAUCAAGCUCAGCACUGGGCCUUGCGCUAACAGUGUGGGUGGAGCCUGCUUGGGAUUCUCUCUCUCCUCCUCUCUCUCUGCCCCUCCCUUGCUCAUGUGCCCUCUCUCUCUCAAAAUAAAUAAAGAAACUUAACAAAAUGGGCAAAGAAUCCAAGUAGACAAUUCUCCAAAGAAGAUACACAAAUAGCUUAUAUGCAUGUAAAUUUUCCAACAAACACAUAAUCACAUACUCAACAUCUCCAGUCAUUGAAGAAUGUAAAUCAAAACUGUAAUGAGACACUACUUCACAUCAAGAGGAGAGUUAGAAUUUAAAGAGCUGAUAAUACCGAGUGUAGGGGAGGCUAUAGAGAAAUCAGAAUCAAGCCCUGACGGUGGGACUAUAAAAUGGUACGAUGGCUUUGGAAAACAGUCUGGCCAUUCCCCAAAAUUUAAAUACGGAGUUACCUACAAUAUCUCAGCAAUCCCACUCGUGGGGACACAUCCAAAAGUAAAGACAAAUAUUAACACGAAAACCUGUACGCACAUGCUUACGGUGGCAUUAUGAAUAACAACCAAAAGUGGCCAAAAGAAGCCAAAUAUCUGCGCCCCUGAUGAAUUUACAAAUCAAUUGUGAUACGUCCAUUCAAUGAAGUAUUCUUCAGCAAUAAAAAGGAAUUGUUAGGAACGGAACUGUGUUCCUCCACCCUGUGUACAUUGAAGCCCUAACCCUCAACGUGAGUAUAUGUGGAGACAGACCUUUAAGGAGGUAAUUAAGGUUAAAUGAGGUCAGAGGGAUGGGGCCCUAAUCCAGUAGGACUGGUGUCCUUAAACAAAGAGGAAGAGACACUAGCGAUCUCUCUCUGUACAUACACACAGAGAAAAGACCAUGUGAGGACACAGUGAGAAGGUGGCCAUCUGCAAACCAAGAGGAAAGCCCUGGCCAGCAGCUAAUCCUGCUGGCACCUUGGUCUUGGGCUUCCAGCCUCCAAAACUCUGAGAAAACACGCUUCUGUUGUUUAAACCACCCAGGCUGUGAUUUUCUAUUAUGACAGCUCAAGCAGACCAAUAUAGGACUGAGGUCAAACAUUAGGGCAAAUGAAAGAAGCCAGACACAAAGGGCCACAUCUUAUAAGACUCCAGUAUAUGGAAUGCCCACAACAAACAGAUCCAUAGAGGCAGAGAGUAGAUGACUGGUUGCCAGGGGCUGGGGCUUAGGGAAAAUGAGGAGUGCCUGAUAAUGAGUAUAGGGUUUCUUUCUUUUUAGAGUCACGAAAAUGUUCUAAAAUUGACGGUGGUGAUGGAUGCACAACUCUGUGAACAGACUUAGAACCACCGGAUUUACAAUUUAAAUGAGUGCAUUGUAUGGGUUCCAGGCUCGACAGCCGGGGCCCAGGAAGUGUAUGCUGGUGAGAAGCAGAGGUGAACUCAUAAGCCCUGUGAAUUAUAGUCUUGGGUGAACCGCACUCUCCCCAGCUGGAAGGCUUCUUGCAGUGAAGGAACAAACCGAGAGACUCCCUACCGAGGUGGUCAGCAGGAAGUCAUGGCAGGAGUGAGCAUUCAGACUGCUUUAAUGUGAUAUCCUAGCUGUCUGGCUUUUCUUUGUCCUUUUCCCUCCAGAAGGAUGGUAUGCAGAUAUUUCCCUUCAUUUCCUGGGAGAGUCUGACGGGCACAAGCACAGGUAUCCUAACACUUGAGGCACUGCAGACCCAAUGAAUGUUGCAAGUUGUUUCACUACAGUAUGGUUACCAGUGGUAUUGCUGGGUGAGGAACGUUCUGCAAAUUUGGCAAACGUAUGCUGUCCUAUGACCCCCACCAGCACAGUCAAACAAAACGAACACUUCCAUGAACUCCAAAAAUUGCCCCAAGCCGUUUUGUAGAUCAACCAUUCCCUGAUCCCUAGUCCCUGCCAACCAAUAAUCCGGUCUCUGUUCCUAGGUUUUGCCUUUUCCAGAAUGUCAAUUAAAUGUAACUACACAGGGUGAA